Molecule: unclassified non-coding RNA, 343 nt
Filed under: soil metagenome
Description: partial contains 5.8S ribosomal RNA, internal transcribed spacer 2, and large subunit ribosomal RNA
Rfam family: 5.8S ribosomal RNA (bases 1-120)
Source: RNAcentral
GAUGAAGAACGCAGCGAAAUGCGAUAAGUAAUGUGAAUUGCAGAAUCCAGUGAAUCAUCGAAUCUUUGAACACACAUUGCGCCCGCCAGCAUUCUGGCGGGCAUGCCUGUUCGAGCGUCAUUUCAACCCUCGACCUCCCUUUGGGGAAGUCGGCGUUGGGGACCGGCAGCACACCGCCGGCCCUGAAAUGGAGUGGCGGCCCGUCCGCGGCGACCUCUGCGUAGUAAACCAACUCGCACCGGAACCCCGACGUGGCCACGCCGUAAAACACCCAACUUCUGAACGUUGACCUCGAAUCAGGUAGGACUACCCGCUGAACUUAAGCAUAUCAAUAAGCGGAGGA